GCCUGAGUGGCUCAGGUGGUUGAGCGCCUGACUCUUGAUCUCGGCUCAGGUCAUGAUCUUGUGGUUUGUGGGUUCGAGCCCCACAUCAGGCU
RNAcentral lists this transfer RNA (92 nucleotides) under Felis catus (domestic cat). It matches the Rfam family "tRNA". From Rfam's summary of the family: Transfer RNA (tRNA) molecules are approximately 80 nucleotides in length. Their secondary structure includes four short double-helical elements and three loops (D, anti-codon, and T loops). Lineage: Eukaryota; Metazoa; Chordata; Mammalia; Carnivora; Felidae. The record is from Rfam by way of RNAcentral. RNAcentral also lists the same sequence under 3 other names.